This 423-nucleotide ribosomal RNA is filed under the name uncultured bacterium. Its description in RNAcentral is "partial 16S ribosomal RNA". It matches the Rfam family "Bacterial small subunit ribosomal RNA", at positions 361 to 776 of the family's 1533-position model. The record is from RNAcentral.
AUUUUGGGCAAUGGGGGAAAACCCUAUCCAGCCAUCCCGCCGGGAUGAUGAAGGCCUUCGGGGUGUAAAAUACCUUUGGCAGGGAAGAAAAGGUAACUCCUAAUACGAGAAACUGCUGCAGGUAUCCGCAGAAUAAGCACCGGCCAACCACGUGCCAGCAGCCGCGGUAAUAAGUAGGGUGCAAGCGUUAAUCGGAAUUACUGGGCGUAAAGCGUGUGUAGGCGGUUCGGAAAGAAAGAUGUGAAAUCCCAGGGCUCAACCUUGGAACUGCAUUUUUAACUGCCGAGCUAGAGUAUGUCAGAGGGGGGUAGAAUUCCACGUGUAGCAGUGAAAUGCGUAGAUAUGUGGAGGAAUACCGAUGGCGAAGGCAGCCCCCUGGGAUAAUACUGACGCUCAGACACGAAAGCGUGGGGAGCAAACAGG